UCUCCGUUGGUGAACCAGCGGAGGGAUCAUUACCGAGUUUACAACUCCCAAACCCAAUGUGAACGUUACCAAACUGUUGCCUCGGCGGGGUCACGCCCCGGGUGCGUCGCAGCCCCGGAACCUGGCGCCCGCCGGAGGAACCAACCAAACUCUUUCUGUAGUCCCCUCGCGGACGUUAUUUCUUACAGCUCUGAGCAAAAAUUCAAAAUGAAUCAGAACUUUCAACAACGGAUCUCUUGGUUCUG
This 245-nucleotide unclassified non-coding RNA is filed under the name plant metagenome. Its description in RNAcentral is "partial contains small subunit ribosomal RNA, internal transcribed spacer 1, and 5.8S ribosomal RNA". The record is from RNAcentral.